UGGCGAUGAUGGUGGCCAGGAUCAUGUACUCGAACGGAGUGAGAGGUCAAGGAAUUAACGGGUAAUUAACGGGUAAUUAACGGGUAAUUAACGGGUAAUAACGGCAAUAAUGGCUAAUUAACGGGUAAUUAAUUAACGGUGGCGAUGAUGGUGGCCAGGAUCAUGUACUCGAACGGAGUGAGAGGUCAAGGAAUUAACGGUAAUUAACGGUAAUUAACGGGUAAUUAACGGGAAUUAACGGGAAUUAACGGGGAAUUAACGGGGAAUUAACGGGGUUAUAGGAUAUCCUAUAGGGCAUUCUAUGGGGUGGAUAUGGCCACUCUGUGAUCCUCUUGGCUAUGGGGGUGGGCUAUGGGGUGGGUUAUAGGGGUGGGCUAUAGGGUCAGUCUAUAGGGUGGGUUAUGGGUCAGUCUAUAGGGCAGUCUAUGGGUCAGUCUAUGGGGCGGAUAUGGCCACUCGGUGAUCCUCUUGGCUAUGGGGUCAGUCUAUAGGGCAGUCUAUAGGGUGGGUUAUGGGGUGGGCUAUAGGGCAGUCUAUGGGGUGGGCUAUAGGAUAUGGCCACUCAGUGAUCCUCUUGGCUAUGGGGUCAGUCUAUGGG
This 598-nucleotide long non-coding RNA is filed under the name Coturnix japonica (Japanese quail). RNAcentral describes it as "lncRNA (ENSCJPG00005000135.1)". Lineage: Eukaryota; Metazoa; Chordata; Aves; Galliformes; Phasianidae. The record is from RNAcentral.